RNAcentral lists this long non-coding RNA (260 nucleotides) under Callithrix jacchus (white-tufted-ear marmoset). Its description in RNAcentral is "lncRNA (ENSCJAG00000073903.1)". The record is from RNAcentral. Lineage: Eukaryota; Metazoa; Chordata; Mammalia; Primates; Cebidae.
ACUUGCACUUUAUAAGGCAUGAGCCACAAACUUUGGGAAACACAAAUAAAGCUUUCCAGGUAGCCUCUUCAAAACCUUUCUCACUGCCCUGGAGGUGAGAACCAGACACUACCCAUGUCUUCCCCACUGUGACAUUAGGAUUCCUAGAAACCUGAUGACGUUCUCAAAAUUUCUUUUUACAGAACUUUAUUACCAGUUCUCAGCUGCUGAAAAUGUUAAAAAUGAUCCAGGGCUUAAAGAGCUAUGGCACUCAUGAGAAG